Amphiprion ocellaris (clown anemonefish) is the source of this 2397-nucleotide long non-coding RNA. RefSeq lists it as uncharacterized. NCBI's taxonomy places the organism in Eukaryota, Metazoa, Chordata, Actinopteri, Pomacentridae. The record is from RefSeq and is a predicted model, not a curated record. The transcript is spliced from 3 exons.
GGAGCCAUAGAGCAGUGAUUGGUCAGACCAUAGCUGCUGUGGACCUUGUUUUUGGAGUAAAACAUGGUGGAAGCUGAAUUAGUGAGGAUGACUCCUGCUCCUGUCAUCUCUAAGCUCCUCACACAUCUUUACCUGCACAUGAGGAAAAUCACUCCUGUAGAAUGCAGAUGUUCAGAGGGAGAUGAUGCCACAUCUGGUCCAGCUGAUGGAAGGUCUUGAAGUUCUCUGACUGGCCUCGACUGAAGAUGGUCGUCUGACUGGAUUUAAGGUUCAGAUGCUCAGUAACAAACUCCACCAAUGAGCCAACAGGGAAGCUUUAGGUUUAUUAAAUGUUGCUAUGAAGGUAUCGCUGUUUUUCUUUGUGAAUGCAAUGUGCUCCAACUGAAACUUGAAUUAGAACUUAGAAGUAAAUCCUUCCAUCUGAAAGGAUUUAGUUGCAUUAAUAACCUCACAACAUUCUAAUUUUUAUUUCAGUCUUAGUUGGAAAUAGAAUCUCUGUAUUGAUUCAGGUAAAAACUGAACUUCACAGCAUGUUGGAGCAAAACAACCAGAUGAAAACUGUGAUGGUGUUGGAUUGUCAGACCGUAAUGUUGCAGCUCAAAGCAGCUUUUCUGUCUCAGUUCAUUCUGACAUUCAGCUAUGAAUCAACACAGCAGAUGGUGAUCCAUGCUGUGGAAGUCUCACAUUUCCUGAUUUAAUGGAGCUGCUUUGCACUUUUUACACUGUUUAUUCACCAACACUUUAUUUAAUAAAAGUCCCAUCUAGUUUUAAUGAGGAAUGUGAUGUUUUAAUUUCUCUGUGAAUAACUGCAGUCUAAUGUAACAGCUGGAGUUGUAACAUCUGUCCUGAUAUUGAUCAUGAAGUAUUGAUCAGAAUACUUAUGGUUAGCAGUCAUCCCUGAAGUUUACAUUAAAAUCUUUACCUGUGUUGUGAACUUUGGUAAGAAGCAGAAACUUUAGCGUUGCCAUGGAUACAUGAGUGUUAAAUUCUGUCCAUGUUUCCAUUUUGGGAAAUGCAGUCCAGUUCCAGAAUGUGGAGGAAUUUAGUCUCACAAUCGCAGACAACAAAUAUUAUCUGAAAGUCGGGUUAUUGUUGUUUAUCAGCACAAUACAAAAAGAUUAAUGUUAGAAAUAUUCCAGUUAAGACUCUAGAAUAUCAUGAUUUAUGUAAAUUUACCUCAAUAAUAUGAAUGUUCAGGUUAAGAUUGCACAGUGAUAUUUAUUAUGUAAGUUUAGCUGAUUAAAGUUUAUGACUCUCCACUAAAAUAUUAUUUAAAUUGACAUCAUUAUUAUAAUAUUUAGGGUCAGACUGUACAGUAUUGAGAUUAAGAAAUCAAAUAUUCUAUAAAAUGUAAAUACACUGAACUCAUUUGGAUAUAUUUAAAUGAGACUCUAUAACAUUAUUUGACACAAAUUUAUCUAAAUCAAAAUUGUAAUCAUUUUUACUCCAAACAUUUACUGGACUGAUUUAAACAUUAAAAUCACUCCUUUCUAAUCCUCUGCUGUACGUUCAAACCUGAGGCCUUAAAUAGAAACACACAAGUAUCUGAUUGAAGGAACUUCUGCAGAGUCCUGGUUCCAGAACAUGAUGAUAGAAUUAUAGACAAACUUUAACAAAAGCUGCCUGAGAGUUUACAGCUUUUUAUGUUAGAUUUCUUCAGUAAUUUAACGAGCGUUAUCAGCAAAAAUCAAGUGUUCAUUUGAUGAACUUCAUUUCCUAAAACAUCCAGAAUUGGAACUCAUAUCUUUGGCAGCUGUAAAGUUUCUGCUCCUUCAAAGUUCACAACACAAUGAAUUAAUUCCUAAAACACUCUCAAUGCUGGAGAGCGUUUGUGAUGCUGAAGCAGUGACCAGUUUUUCUGUUUCUUCUCUGGAGAUGCACAAUGACGGACGUCUGCAGAGACUGAGAAAGAGUCUCACCACAUCCUGACAUGAGGAAAAAGACUUUAUUGAAGACUACAAUGAGAAAAACUAUCAGACAGCAGACGGCUGCAUUCAAGGUGAGCUCUGAACAUUUGAUCUGGAACAGGAAUUCAAUAACGGCAGCAUGAGCUUCAUUUCAGUCUGUAGCUGCUGAAUUCAUGGAUGAAUCAUCUGGCACUAGAGAGGAAGACCAUCAAACAUCCACAUCAGCUGAUGGAGGUCCAAAAGUCUCACCAAACAAACAACCUACAGAGUGAAGACCUCUAACCUGAUUGGACAGCCUCCUAUUCAGCCACAUGUGAACAAAUGCCUCUAAGCUGAUUUGUUUUCUAAAAUAAAUCUAGUUUGAGUCCUAAUAUAUGCCUGUGUGUUUGCUUCUUUACAUGGCUGUUAACAGUUUAGGCUGUUAGAUUGUUCCAGAUAAGACAAGUACAAGAUUCUUCAGAGCCGUUCUACCACGAGCCUGACAGGAAGA